UGUGGCGGGAGUAUUCAGUCGGAGCGUUUCGGCGCUCGCCGGAAGAGUGGAAGCGAAGGUUCCCGUGACGGGGCCGUUCCGGCGUGGCGAUCUGGGGCGAGCCGACGCAUUUGUUUCCCGCCCGAAGGACGCCGCAACCGGUUGGGAGACGGCCUUAAGGGCGAGUAAUGGCAGGUGGCCGGUGGCGAUGCCUCGUGCGCGUCGCCGGUUGUUAGCCGUCUCGUCGCACGGCACGUUUCCCGACCGUGGCAACAGAGAGGCCUCGUUGGGCUUCGACGUCUCCUCCCUUUAAGGGUUGCGGGUGAAGACGCGCGGCAGGAGAUUGAUGCGGUGUGGGCGCACGGACAGACUCCGUGGCCAGGCGCCGCCUUGUCUCUGUUGGCUGCGCAAGCCCCGCGGGAGUGAACGACGGUUGGCGGCGAGUAGAUCGGUCACCCACCUGACCCGUCUUGAAACACGGACCAAGGAGUUG
Molecule: ribosomal RNA, 472 nt
Filed under: Floronia bucculenta
Lineage: Eukaryota; Metazoa; Arthropoda; Arachnida; Araneae; Linyphiidae
Description: eukaryotic LSU rRNA
Source: RNAcentral